UUAGAAGCUUGCUUCUAUGACGUUAGCGGCGGACGGGUGAGUAACACGUGGGCAACCUGCCUGUAAGACUGGGAUAACUUCGGGAAACCGAAGCUAAUACCGGAUAGGAUCUUCUCCUUCAUGGGAGAUGAUUGAAAGAUGGUUUCGGCUAUCACUUACAGAUGGGCCCGCGGUGCAUUAGCUAGUUGGUGAGGUAACGGCUCACCAAGGCAACGAUGCAUAGCCGACCUGAGAGGGUGAUCGGCCACACUGGGACUGAAACACGGCCCAGACUCCUACGGGAGGCAGCAGUAGGGAAUCUUCCGCAAUGGACGAAAGUCUGACGGAGCAACGCCGCGUGAGUGAUGAAGGCUUUCGGGUCGUAAAACUCUGUUGUUAGGGAAGAACAAGUACGAGAGUAACUGCUUGUACCUUGACGGUACCUAACCAGAAAGCCACGGCUAACUACGUGCCAGCAGCCGCGGUAAUACGUAGGUGGCAAGCGUUAUCCGGAAUUAUUGGGCGUAAAGCGCGCGCAGGCGGUUUCUUAAGUCUGAUGUGAAAGCCCACGGCUCAACCGUGGAGGGUCAUUGGAAACUGGGGAACUUGAGUGCAGAAGAGAAAAGCGGAAUUCCACGUGUAGCGGUGAAAUGCGUAGAGAUGUGGAGGAACACCAGUGGCGAAGGCGGCUUUUUGGUCUGUAACUGACGCUGAGGCGCGAAAGCGUGGGGAGCAAACAGGAUUAGAUACCCUGGUAGUCCACGCCGUAAACGAUGAGUGCUAAGUGUUAGAGGGUUUCCGCCCUUUAGUGCUGCAGCUAACGCAUUAAGCACUCCGCCUGGGGAGUACGGUCGCAAGACUGAAACUCAAAGGAAUUGACGG
RNAcentral lists this ribosomal RNA (861 nucleotides) under Priestia aryabhattai. Its description in RNAcentral is "bacterial SSU rRNA". It matches the Rfam family "Bacterial small subunit ribosomal RNA", at positions 72 to 916 of the family's 1533-position model. Lineage: Bacteria; Bacillati; Bacillota; Bacilli; Caryophanales; Bacillaceae. The record is from RNAcentral.